Molecule: ribosomal RNA, 253 nt
Filed under: uncultured bacterium
Lineage: Bacteria
Description: partial 16S ribosomal RNA
Rfam family: Bacterial small subunit ribosomal RNA
Source: RNAcentral
UCCGGAGGGGGCUAUCGUUGUUCGGAAUUACUGGGCGUAAAGCGCGCGUAGGCGGACCUGCAAGUCGGGGGUGAAAGCCCGAGGCUUAACCUCGGAACUGCCUUCGAUACUGCGGGUCUCGAGUCCGGGAGAGGUGAGUGGAAUUCCUAGUGUAGAGGUGAAAUUCGUAGAUAUUAGGAAGAACACCAGUGGCGAAGGCGGCUCACUGGCCCGGUACUGACGCUGAGGCGCGAAAGCAUGGGGAGAAAACAGG